RNAcentral lists this ribosomal RNA (497 nucleotides) under uncultured bacterium. RNAcentral describes it as "partial 16S ribosomal RNA". It matches the Rfam family "Bacterial small subunit ribosomal RNA", at positions 28 to 507 of the family's 1533-position model. The record is from RNAcentral.
GAUGAACGCUGGCGGCGUGCCUAAUACAUGCAAGUCGAGCGAACGGACGAGAAGCUUGCUUUUCUGAUGUUAGCGGCGGACGGGUGAGUAACACGUGGAUAACCUACCUAUAAGACUGGGAUAACUUCGGGAAACCGGAGCUAAUACCGGAUAAUAUUUUGAACCGCAUGGUUCAAAAGUGAAAGACGGUCUUGCUGUCACUUAUAGAUGGAUCCGCGCUGCAUUAGCUAGUUGGUAAGGUAACGGCUUACCAAGGCAACGAUGCAUAGCCGACCUGAAAGGGUGAUCGGCCACACUGGAACUGAGCCACGGUCCAGACUCCUACGGGAGGCAGCAGUAGGGAAUCUUCCGCAAUGGGCGAAAGCCUGACGGAGCAACGCCGCGUGAGUGAUGAAGGUCUUCGGAUCGUAAAACUCUGUUAUUAGGGAAGAACAUAUGUGUAAGUAACUGUGCACAUCUUGACGGUACCUAAUCAGAAAGCCACGGCUAACUACGUG